AAAUUGAAGAGUUUGAUCAUGGCUCAGAUUGAACGCUGGCGGCAGGCCUAACACAUGCAAGUCGAACGGUAACAGGAAACAGCUUGCUGUUUCGCUGACGAGUGGCGGACGGGUGAGUAAUGUCUGGGAAACUGCCUGAUGGAGGGGGAUAACUACUGGAAACGGUAGCUAAUACCGCAUAACGUCGCAAGACCAAAGAGGGGGACCUUAGGGCCUCUUGCCAUCGGAUGUGCCCAGAUGGGAUUAGCUAGUAGGUGGGGUAACGGCUCACCUAGGCGACGAUCCCUAGCUGGUCUGAGAGGAUGACCAGCCACACUGGAACUGAGACACGGUCCAGACUCCUACGGGAGGCAGCAGUGGGGAAUAUUGCACAAUGGGCGCAAGCCUGAUGCAGCCAUGCCGCGUGUAUGAAGAAGGCCUUCGGGUUGUAAAGUACUUUCAGCGGGGAGGAAGGGAGUAAAGUUAAUACCUUUGCUCAUUGACGUUACCCGCAGAAGAAGCACCGGCUAACUCCGUGCCAGCAGCCGCGGUAAUACGGAGGGUGCAAGCGUUAAUCGGAAUUACUGGGCGUAAAGCGCACGCAGGCGGUUUGUUAAGUCAGAUGUGAAAUCCCCGGGCUCAACCUGGGAACUGCAUCUGAUACUGGCAAGCUUGAGUCUCGUAGAGGGGGGUAGAAUUCCAGGUGUAGCGGUGAAAUGCGUAGAGAUCUGGAGGAAUACCGGUGGCGAAGGCGGCCCCCUGGACGAAGACUGACGCUCAGGUGCGAAAGCGUGGGGAGCAAACAGGAUUAGAUACCCUGGUAGUCCACGCCGUAAACGAUGUCGACUUGGAGGUUGUGCCCUUGAGGCGUGGCUUCCGGAGCUAACGCGUUAAGUCGACCGCCUGGGGAGUACGGCCGCAAGGUUAAAACUCAAAUGAAUUGACGGGGGCCCGCACAAGCGGUGGAGCAUGUGGUUUAAUUCGAUGCAACGCGAAGAACCUUACCUGGUCUUGACAUCCACGGAAGUUUUCAGAGAUGAGAAUGUGCCUUCGGGAACCGUGAGACAGGUGCUGCAUGGCUGUCGUCAGCUCGUGUUGUGAAAUGUUGGGUUAAGUCCCGCAACGAGCGCAACCCUUAUCCUUUGUUGCCAGCGGUCCGGCCGGGAACUCAAAGGAGACUGCCAGUGAUAAACUGGAGGAAGGUGGGGAUGACGUCAAGUCAUCAUGGCCCUUACGACCAGGGCUACACACGUGCUACAAUGGCGCAUACAAAGAGAAGCGACCUCGCGAGAGCAAGCGGACCUCAUAAAGUGCGUCGUAGUCCGGAUUGGAGUCUGCAACUCGACUCCAUGAAGUCGGAAUCGCUAGUAAUCGUGGAUCAGAAUGCCACGGUGAAUACGUUCCCGGGCCUUGUACACACCGCCCGUCACACCAUGGGAGUGGGUUGCAAAAGAAGUAGGUAGCUUAACCUUCGGGAGGGCGCUUACCACUUUGUGAUUCAUGACUGGGGUGAAGUCGUAACAAGGUAACCGUAGGGGAACCUGCGGUUGGAUCACCUCCUUA
This 1542-nucleotide ribosomal RNA is filed under the name Escherichia coli. Its description in RNAcentral is "bacterial SSU rRNA". It matches the Rfam family "Bacterial small subunit ribosomal RNA". Lineage: Bacteria; Pseudomonadati; Pseudomonadota; Gammaproteobacteria; Enterobacterales; Enterobacteriaceae. The record is from RNAcentral.